GCCUAGGAGCUGUCAUCUAUAAUCAUUCAUGGGAAGUCCAAGCUGUUUUCAAAUGGAUCCAAGAGGCUGGAAGAGUAGAAGAUGCUAAAAUGAGACGAACUUUUAAUAUGGGUAUUGGGAUGGUUCUUGUUGUGAGUAAGGAGGCAUCCCACUGAAUCCUUGAGGAUGGAAAUGGAGCUUACUGCAUUGGUGAGGUUGUAACUGGUGAAGGAGUGAGUUAUAAACGAAAUAUAUAAUGUGUGGCUCAAUAUGUCUUUAUGUUCCUUUUUUAGCCCAUUUGACAAGCUGAGAUACAAGCUAGUGCAACUUGUUUUUUUUGU
Molecule: long non-coding RNA, 320 nt
Filed under: Rosa chinensis
Lineage: Eukaryota; Viridiplantae; Streptophyta; Magnoliopsida; Rosales; Rosaceae
Description: sRNA RchiOBHm_Chr4g0405471
Source: RNAcentral